GCGGGGAUAGCUCAGUUGGGAGAGCGUCAGACUGAAGAUCUGAAGGUCCCGUGUUCGAUCCACGGUCACCGCACCA
This 76-nucleotide transfer RNA is filed under the name Lupinus luteus (yellow lupine). RNAcentral's name for it is "tRNA-Phe". It matches the Rfam family "tRNA". From Rfam's summary of the family: Transfer RNA (tRNA) molecules are approximately 80 nucleotides in length. Their secondary structure includes four short double-helical elements and three loops (D, anti-codon, and T loops). The record is from RNAcentral. Lineage: Eukaryota; Viridiplantae; Streptophyta; Magnoliopsida; Fabales; Fabaceae.